Molecule: ribosomal RNA, 603 nt
Filed under: uncultured bacterium
Lineage: Bacteria
Description: bacterial SSU rRNA
Rfam family: Bacterial small subunit ribosomal RNA
Source: RNAcentral
GGGGGGGUUGUUUCGGGAUUAUUGGGCGUAAGCGAGUGUAGGCGGUUUGACAAGUCGGAUGUGAAAUCCCGGGGCCCAACCCCGGAACUGCAUCCGAUACUGUCUGGCUAGAGUCCCGGAGAGGGUGGCGGAAUUCCCGGUGUAGGGGUGAAAUCCGUAGAUAUCGGGAGGAACACCAGUGGCGAAGGCGGCCACCUGGACGGUGACUGACGCUGAGACUCGAAAGCGUGGGUAGCAAACAGGAUUAGAUACCCUGGUAGUCCACGCUGUAAACGGUGAGUGCUCGUCGUCGUGGGUAUUGACCCCUGCGGUGACCAAGUUAACACAUGAAGCACUCCGCCUGGGAAGUACGGUCGCAAGACUAAAACUCAAAGAAAUUGACGGGGGCCCGCACAAGCGGUGGAGCAUGUUGUUUAAUUCGAAGCAACGCGCAGAACCUUACCUGGAUUUGACAUCUCUGGAAUCUUCCUGAAAGGGAAGAGUGCCUUCGGGAGCCAGAAGACAGGUGCUGCAUGGCUGUCGUCAGCUCGUGUCGUGAGAUGUUGGGUUAAGUCCCGCAACGGGCGCAACCCCUAUCGUUAGUUGCUAGCAGUUUCGGCUGAA